AAUGAACGCUGGCGGCGUGCCUAACACAUGCAAGUCGGAUGUGCCCGCAAGGGUGCAUGGCAGACGGGUGAGUAACGCGUGGGGAACCUACCUCUUUGUGGGGAAUAACGUUCCGAAAGGAAUGGUAAUACCGCAUGAGACCUUCGGCUGGGAUGCUGGAGGUGAAACCCGGGGACCGUAAGGCCUGGGGCAAGGAGAGGGUCCUGCGUCUGAUUAGCUAGUUGGCGGGGUAAUGGCCCACCAAGGCGACGAUCAGUAGCCGGCCUGAGAGGGUGAUCGGCCACACUGGAACUGAGACACGGUCCAGACUCCUACGGGAGGCAGCAGUGGGGAAUUUUGCGCAAUGGACGAAAGUCUGACGCAGCAACGCCGCGUGGGUGAUGAAGGUCUUCGGAUUGUAAAACCCUGUCGUCAGGGACGAAGGUUGGGGCUUUAAAUAGAGUUUUCAACUUGACGGUACCUGGAGAGGAAGCCCCGGCUAACUCUGUGCCAGCAGCCGCGGUAAAUACGUAGCGU
This 516-nucleotide ribosomal RNA is filed under the name uncultured bacterium. Its description in RNAcentral is "bacterial SSU rRNA". It matches the Rfam family "Bacterial small subunit ribosomal RNA", at positions 29 to 533 of the family's 1533-position model. The record is from RNAcentral.